AGAGUUUGAUCCUGGCUCAGGGUGAACGCUGGCGGCGUGCCUAAGACAUGCAAGUCGAGCGGGGCAGGUUUAUACCUGUCCAGCGGCGGACGGGUGAGUAACGCGUGGGUGACCUACCCGGAAGAGGCGGACAACCUGGGGAAACCCAGGCUAAUCCGCCAUGUGGUCCUGUCCUGUGGGGCAGGACUAAAGGGUGAAUAGCCCGCUUCCGGAUGGGCCCGCGUCCCAUCAGCUAGUUGGUGGGGUAAAGGCCCACCAAGGCGACGACGGGUAGCCGGUCUGAGAGGAUGGCCGGCCACAGGGGCACUGAGACACGGGCCCCACUCCUACGGGAGGCAGCAGUUAGGAAUCUUCCGCAAUGGACGGAAGUCUGACGGAGCGACGCCGCUUGGAGGAGGAAGCCCUUCGGGGUGUAAACUCCUGAACUGGGGACGAAAGCCCCGUGUAGGGGGAUGACGGUACCCAGGUAAUAGCGCCGGCCAACUCCGUGCCAGCAGCCGCGGUAAUACGGAGGGCGCGAGCGUUACCCGGAUUUACUGGGCGUAAAGGGCGUGUAGGCGGCCUGGGGCGUCCCAUGUGAAAGGCCACGGCUCAACCGUGGAGGAGCGUGGGAUACGCUCAGGCUAGAGGGUGGGAGAGGGUGGUGGAAUUCCCGGAGUAGCGGUGAAAUGCGCAGAUACCGGGAGGAACGCCGAUGGCGAAGGCAGCCACCUGGUCCACUUCUGACGCUGAGGCGCGAAAGCGUGGGGAGCAAACCGGAUUAGAUACCCGGGUAGUCCACGCCCUAAACGAUGCGCGCUAGGUCUUUGGGGUUUACCUGGGGGCCGAAGCCAACGCGUUAAGCGCGCCGCCUGGGGAGUACGGCCGCAAGGCUGAAACUCAAAGGAAUUGACGGGGGCCCGCACAAGCGGUGGAGCAUGUGGUUUAAUUCGAAGCAACGCGAAGAACCUUACCAGCAGGACUUUACCCACAUCUCCGUUUCGUGGUAAAUCUCCCCUUGCGGGCGCAGCCCGUAUCUGGUACCGGGGGUGAUCCAUGGACAUGCUCAAGGUGGCCGAGGCCAGGCUCCAGGAGUUCACGGGCCGUUUUGCGAGCGUUUUCCCCCGAUAAGCGCCUCCACCGACGGUUUGAAGAGGUGGUGCGGGGCGCCUUGGCCGCAGGCUCAGCCCGGGUGAGCGAGAUGGUGGCCUCGCUCCCUUCUCCCCUCCAGAACCGCUUCCACCAGGCCAAAGCCCUUUACCGCUUCCUGUCCAACCCACGGGUGGAGGCAGAAGCCCUCCUUGACCGGGUCUAUCAGGAGAGCGCGACUGCCCUGGAGGGUGAGGAGGUUCUGGUCCUCCUGGACCUGAGCCCGGUGGCCAAGCCCUAUGCCCGGGCCCUGGAGGGGAUAGCCCGGGUGGGGAAGGAUAGGCGGCCCGGGUACGAGCUCCUCACCGCCCUGGGGUUGGACCCCGCGGGGCGGCUGGCCCUGGGGUACGCCCACCUGGUGGCCUACGGGGAGAGGGGGUUUGCCAGCCUGCCCAAGGAGGUGGAGGGAGCCAUUGAGGCGGCCCGGGAGCGAUUGGGGGGCGUGGGCAGGAGGCUGGUGUAUGUGGCGGACCGGGGGUUUGACGACCGGAAGGUGUUUGGGCAGGUGCUGGCCCUGGGGGAGGAGUUCGUGGUGCGGGUCUACCGGGACCGGAAGCUUGGGGAGGGGGGUUCUCUGGCGAAGGUGGCUUCUUCCCUGGCCCUUCCCUGUGGGGAGGAGGUGGAGCUGAGGGUAGGGGGCAGGUACCAGCGGGUGCGGCUCCACUUCGGAUGGAGGGAGGUGGAGGUGGAGGGGAGGCGGCUCCACCUGGUGGUCUGCCGGGUGCCAGCCCUGGGGCGGCGUGGGGAGUGGUGGCUACUGACCAGCUUGCCGGUGAGGGGGAGGGAGGAGGCGGCGCAGGUGGUGGAGGCGUACCGCAGGCGGUGGGAGGUGGAGCGGUUCUUCCGGCUUUUGAAGACGGGGCUGGGGCUUGAGACCUUCCAGGUGCGGGGGCUUGCCCGGAUCCGGAAGGUGGUGGCGGUUUUGCUGGGGCUGGCGGUGUUCCUUUGGGAAGUUGAGCGGUUGGGGGAUCCGUUCAAGGGGUUUCUUUUGCAGCUCGGGGGCAAGCUGGGGCUGCCCAGCGAGAGGGAUGGUCCGUACCUGCUCCUGAGGGGCCUGGUUCGCCUGCUCAACUAUGAAGUCACCCAAGAACUCUUGAAGCAGGCUAAGGGAGGGCGAGGAAGGAGUUUUGGGUAAAGCCCUGUUACCAGGCCUUGACAUGCUAGGGAACCUAGGUGAAAGCCUGGGGUGCCCGCGAGGGAGCCCUAGCACAGGUGCUGCAUGGCCGUCGUCAGCUCGUGUCGUGAGAUGUUGGGUUAAGUCCCGCAACGAGCGCAACCCCUGCCCUUAGUUGCCAGCGGGUUGGGCCGGGCACUCUAAGGGGACUGCCUGCGAAAGCAGGAGGAAGGCGGGGACGACGUCUGGUCAUCAUGGCCCUUACGGCCUGGGCGACACACGUGCUACAAUGCCCACUACAGAGCGAGGCGACCCAGUGAUGGGGAGCGAAUCGCAAAAAGGUGGGCGUAGUUCGGAUUGGGGUCUGCAACCCGACCCCAUGAAGCCGGAAUCGCUAGUAAUCGCGGAUCAGCCAUGCCGCGGUGAAUACGUUCCCGGGCCUUGUACACACCGCCCGUCACGCCAUGGGAGCGGGUUCUACCCGAAGUCGCCGGGAGCCUUAGGGCAGGCGCCGAGGGUAGGGCUCGUGACUGGGGCGAAGUCGUAACAAGGUAGCUGUACCGGAAGGUGCGGCUGGAUCACCU
This 2826-nucleotide ribosomal RNA is filed under the name Thermus scotoductus SA-01. RNAcentral describes it as "bacterial SSU rRNA". The stretch from base 1 to 1118 matches the Rfam family "Bacterial small subunit ribosomal RNA". The record is from RNAcentral. Lineage: Bacteria; Thermotogati; Deinococcota; Deinococci; Thermales; Thermaceae.